RNAcentral lists this unclassified non-coding RNA (241 nucleotides) under Paraglomerales sp. RNAcentral describes it as "partial contains 5.8S ribosomal RNA and internal transcribed spacer 2". The stretch from base 1 to 65 matches the Rfam family "5.8S ribosomal RNA", at positions 84 to 154 of the family's 154-position model. The record is from RNAcentral. Lineage: Eukaryota; Fungi; Glomeromycota; Glomeromycetes; Paraglomerales.
GUGAAUCAUCGAAUUUUUGAACGCAAAUUGCGCCUUUUUCGGAAGGCAUGUCUGUUUGAGGGCCACAUUUAAUAAAUAUUGUGCUGUGUUUUUUGUUGCACACGUCGAUGAGUUUUCCAAGUAUUUUAAAUUUUUGGUGGCGCAUAAUGAACAGCGAGUAAGUUUUUUUCAGUUCGAGUGUAGUAAAUUCUUUGUUUGGUUUGUGAAAAUACAUACUCGCGAAAUGGGUGUGGCAAUCUCU